This 447-nucleotide ribosomal RNA is filed under the name uncultured bacterium. RNAcentral's name for it is "bacterial SSU rRNA". It matches the Rfam family "Bacterial small subunit ribosomal RNA", at positions 28 to 457 of the family's 1533-position model. The record is from RNAcentral.
GAUGAACGCUGGCGGCGUGCUUAAUACAUGCAAGUCGAGCGAAGCGCUUUAACGGAAUUCUUCGGAAGGAAGAUAAAGUGACUGAGCGGCGGACGGGUGAGUAACGCGUGGGUAACCUGCCUCAUACAGGGGGAUAACAGUUAGAAAUGGCUGCUAAUACCGCAUAAGCGCACAGGACCGCAUGGUCUGGUGUGAAAAACUCCGGUGGUAUGGGAUGGACCCGCGUUGGAUUAGGUAGUUGGUGGGGUAACGGCCUACCAAGCCGACGAUCCAUAGCCGGCCUGAGAGGGUGGACGGCCACAUUGGGACUGAGACACGGCCCAGACUCCUACGGGAGGCAGCAGUAGGGAAUAUUGCACAAUGGGGGAAACCCUGAUGCAGCGACGCCGCGUGAAGGAAGAAGUAUCUCGGUAUGUAAACUUCUAUCAGCAGGGAAGACAAUGACGG